AAGUCGUAACAAGGUUUCCGUAGGUGAACCUGCGGAAGGAUCAUUUCUGAACUAAGGUCUGAUUCGUUUUCUUUUUUUAACUUUUGCAAAAAAGUUUUAAAAAAAAAAAUAAAAUCUUUCCUUAUCAAAGAGAGUGUGUGGUAUAAAUGAAAAGGAAAACAAAAAAAAGUGAUCGGGUAUUCAUGUAUUUGAGUACUCGUUUCUUUUGUUGUUUCCUAAUCUUACUUUAUGAACCAAAACAAGUUACUUUUUUGUUCAAAAACAAAAUUAUUUUUUUUUUUUAAAAUUUGCGUUCAUUUCACAAUGAACAAAAAUGAAAAGAAAAAAAAUACAAAAAAAAUGACAUACAACUGUCAACGGUGGAUCUCUUGGCUCGU
This 377-nucleotide unclassified non-coding RNA is filed under the name Schizosaccharomyces pombe (fission yeast). RNAcentral's name for it is "partial internal transcribed spacer region". The stretch from base 1 to 46 matches the Rfam family "Eukaryotic small subunit ribosomal RNA", at positions 1786 to 1831 of the family's 1831-position model. Lineage: Eukaryota; Fungi; Ascomycota; Schizosaccharomycetes; Schizosaccharomycetales; Schizosaccharomycetaceae. The record is from RNAcentral.